Long non-coding RNA from Stegastes partitus (bicolor damselfish), 461 nucleotides. RefSeq lists it as uncharacterized. The record is from RefSeq and is a predicted model, not a curated record. The transcript has 2 exons. Lineage: Eukaryota; Metazoa; Chordata; Actinopteri; Pomacentridae.
GAGCGGAUGUUUUGUUCUUUUUUCCAUUAAUGAAGACUCCGAUUGGUUUUUUUUUUGGUCUGCUGAGUGCUGGAUCUGCGUCGAAUCAUCAGCGGUUUCAACCAGGUUUCCCGUCAGAGGCGUGGCGGAGUUGAAGGGGACGUUAAUCCUCCACUCUCAUCACCUGCUGGAGAAGUGCACAUACCUGGAGAGGAGCCUGAACCGCGCGCAGUAACAGUUCUUUACACACACACUACCCGGGUAGCACACACAUGUACACAAAUCAACUUUGACUGACCUGGAUGUGGAUUAAACUCUUUUGACUUGAUUCACUGAACUUUAAUACAAGAACAGCUAUACGCUGUGAGAGGACAAUUUCUGUUAUUGUUGUUUACUUUUUUUUCUAUUAUUGAAGGUUUUAAAGCAACAACUGUUUCCACGUUGUUUUGAUGUUGCUGGAAUAAAUUUUCUUUUGUUCAAUA